AUUGAACGCUGGCGGAAUGCUUUACACAUGCAAGUCGAACGGUAGUGGGGGCAACCCCUCGAGAGUGGCGAACGGGUGAGUAAUAUAUCGGAACGUGCCCAGUCGGGGGGGAUAACGUAGCGAAAGUUACGCUAAUACCGCAUACGAUCUAAGGAUGAAAGCGGGGGAUCGCAAGACCUCGCGCGAUUGGAGCGGUCGAUAUCAGAUUAGGUAGUUGGUGGGGUAAAGGCUCACCAAGCCAACGAUCUGUAGCUGGUCUGAGAGGACGACCAGCCACACUGGAACUGAGACACGGUCCAGACUCCUACGGGAGGCAGCAGUGGGGAAUUUUGGACAAUGGACGCAAGUCUGAUCCAGCCAUUCCGCGUGCAGGAUGAAGGCCCUCGGGUUGUAAACUGCUUUUGUACGGAACGAAAAGGUCUCUCUUAAUACGGGGGGCUCAUGACGGUACCGUAAGAAUAAGCACCGGCUAACUACGUGCCAGCCGCCGCCGUAA
RNAcentral lists this ribosomal RNA (496 nucleotides) under uncultured bacterium. RNAcentral's name for it is "partial 16S ribosomal RNA". It matches the Rfam family "Bacterial small subunit ribosomal RNA", at positions 30 to 523 of the family's 1533-position model. The record is from RNAcentral.